GCGUUACAGGUAUGCACAGGAUCUCUAGAUCACACAAUUAUCGUAUUUAUUCUGUUCAAUAUUUCAUAGAUGUUUGUACGCCAACUUCUUGGGCGCUUUCAAAGUGGGCAGGUUGUCAGUCAUUUGAGGCGUUUUAGUAGUCAAAACUCAACAGCCAUGGUUGUCAAAGUGAACGUAAUUUAUUGUGGUGGAUGAGGGUACAGGCCCAAGUAUCAGCGACUGAAAGCUGAUCUUGAGGAGGAGUUUGGCUCCGACGUUGAGAUGACCGGUGUAUCAACUCCAGAAGUCACUGGAUAUCUGGAGGUUGAGGUCAAUGGAAGUCUUGUUCAUUCUAAAAAGAAUGGAGACGGCUAUAUUGAUAAUCAACAGAAACUGAACAAGAUCAUUGAGGCCGUCAAGGCAGCUCUUUGAUUCUUGACAACAUUCAGCAACACAGCUAAACAGCUCCGCAUUGGACAUUGUGGCUAUCCCUAUCAUGACAGAAACACCCCAAAAGUAGUUCCGGCUAUUCGGGUAUUUCUCGAGACUCUACAGGGAGACACCAGGCUGUCCAAGAUGGAAGGAUUUGACUGUGUCAAUUAUUAUUUUCUUUGAUGUGGUAUUGUGCAGUGUAGACUAGAAUUAAUAUGGUGUAAUUGGUAGCAUGUUAAAAGGGAGUUUAUUUUAAGAAAAAAAACAUUAUUCUUUAACAUUGGGUUACUUAUAAAGAAAAAGGCCCCAUGAUGUUAUGCAAGUUUCUUAUUUUGCUUUCUCCAUUUUCAUUAUUUACAACCACAGAAAGUUACUGCACAGGAUGGAAAUACUUUAAAGCAAAAAACACAAGAACCUGACUUGGGGGUAAUUAAAGUGCAGUUGUUUGAUCUUGGUGAUACUCAUGAUACCAUAUUCAUGUAUGUUUCAUAUGCCUCAGACCCUUUUGAGAUAUAUAAUUGAAGUAAUAUGGUACCUGACCCUUAAAGGGGAAUCCAGCCUUGGCCAUAAAAUAUUGUGUUGGGAAGGAGAAAAAUAAAUUAAACAGAAUGGUGAAAGUUUGAAAGAAAGUAAUAAGAAAGUUAUAGCUGCUUUAAAAUUGAGAUCACUAAUACUAUGUAGAUUUCAAAUUGGCAACUGGGUAAGUAAAUUAUGACAAGGGGCAAGGACAACUUUCCCAUAGGCCAUGUACUUUAUUAUCAGGGAUUUGUGGUUUUCUCCUAAGUACCCAUUCCCCUGGGGCAGUAAUCUAAAUAUAACCCAGGUAGUAUAUUGUUUUAUGUCCUCAUGAAACAAAAAUAUAAUUUGAAAUAAAACUUUUGGGAAAAAUGACAUUUUAGCCAUAAUAUGUAUUGGAGUACAUGGAAGGGUAGUCCUUGCCUUACAUCACUAUGACAUCCCAUAUGCGGCCAAUUUGAAGUCUCCAUGGGUAUAGUGAUUACCAAUAUUUACAACUUUUAAAAAUUCAUAACUUUUUUGUUGUUUGUCCAAUAUUGUUCAAACUUUCACCUCUCAACUUGUCUGAUUUUUCUUUUCCUUAUAAAAACAAGUUUUUAUUUGGGUUGGAUUCCCCUUUAACUUUAGGGGAAUACAGAAAAUCAAUAAUUGAUUUUAUGAGGUCUUCAUGUUACGACUAUAUUCCUCACCAAGCAGAGUGAUGAUACAUAAAAAUAAAACUAAAGAUAACAUGAAAAUAGACUAUGCACCAAGACUGAAAAUAUGAUUAACCUUUUUUUUUUACAAUUGACAUUUGGAAUGUGCUUUGAAUUUCAGAAAAAAAAAUUAUAAUUGCAACUCUCAAACCUUCCUAUGGUUAGCUAAUCUGAGGUGGGACUGGCCUGGCAUCAAUGGCUUGCUGAUGAUUCUGUCAGAGGCAUUUUAUAUAAAUCCACAUAUUCCAUGGUAUGUACUGAUAUCAUGUGUACAUUACAUGUAAUGCAUGAAUAAUGAUUUUUUUGCAAAUGAAAUAUUUUGUUCAAAUUAACAUUUAUAUUAACUUUAAUAGAUUAGUUGAUUAACAUGUAUACACAGAACUCUAUUACCAGAUUCAUGUAUCCCAAUGAAAAGCAACUGUGUUUAGCAUGGGCUGAAGCAACUUUAGACGAUUUCAGUUCAAACACACCAAAGUACCAGAUUUAUUCAGAUACUUAAUAUUUCAUGCCAAAGAUAUUUCCGCAAUGAACAUGUUUUGUCUGUCAAUUUAUUCUGACAGGUAUCCUAAGCUUGUCAAUGAACAAUUAUCAUUUUAGAAUGUGUAUUAUAUUGGCAGAUUCAUUUCCAAUCUUGAUGAUCUUGAUUUUCUUCAGAACCAUAUAACAUGUCAUGGUGUUGGGAUUUGUUUAAUGAAGUGCCUAUUUUCACUUUUCUUGUUUUCUUUUCUUUUUUCUUGAAGCUGAUUAAAAUAGUUUUAUCAUUCUCAUCAAGAA
Lytechinus pictus (painted urchin) is the source of this 2396-nucleotide long non-coding RNA. RefSeq lists it as uncharacterized. The transcript is spliced from 6 exons. The record is from RefSeq and is a predicted model, not a curated record. Lineage: Eukaryota; Metazoa; Echinodermata; Echinoidea; Temnopleuroida; Toxopneustidae.